UACGAAGGGGGCUAGCGUUGCUCGGAAUCACUGGGCGUAAAGCGCACGUAGGCGGCUUUCUAAGUCAGGGGUGAAGUCCUGGAGCUCAACUCCAGAGCUGCCUUUGAUACUGGAGAGCUUGAGUCCGGAAGAGGUGAGUGGAACUCCGAGUGUAGAGGUGAAAUUCGUAGAUAUUCGGAAGAACACCAGUGGCGAAGGCGGCUCACUGGUCCGGUACUGACGCUGAUGUGCGAAAGCGUGGGGAGCAAACAGG
This 253-nucleotide ribosomal RNA is filed under the name uncultured bacterium. RNAcentral describes it as "partial 16S ribosomal RNA". It matches the Rfam family "Bacterial small subunit ribosomal RNA", at positions 524 to 776 of the family's 1533-position model. The record is from RNAcentral.